GAUGAACGCUGGCGGCGUGCCUAAUACAUGCAAGUCGAGCGAACAGACGAGGAGCUUGCUCCUCUGACGUUAGCGGCGGACGGGUGAGUAACACGUGGAUAACCUACCUAUAAGACUGGGAUAACUUCGGGAAACCGGAGCUAAUACCGGAUAACAUGUUGAACCGCAUGGUUCAACAGUGAAAUACGGUCUUGCUGUCACUUAUAGAUGGAUCCGCGCCGCAUUAGCUAGUUGGUAAGGUAACGGCUUACCAAGGCAACGAUGCGUAGCCGACCUGAGAGGGUGAUCGGCCACACUGGAACUGAGACACGGUCCAGACUCCUACGGGAGGCAGCAGUAGGGAAUCUUCCGCAAUGGGCGAAAGCCUGACGGAGCAACGCCGCGUGAGUGAAGAAGGUCUUCGGAUCGUAAAACUCUGUUAUUAGGGAAGAACAAAUGUGUAAGUAACUAUGCACGUCUUGACGGUACCUAAUCAGAAAGCCACGGCUAACUACGUG
This 497-nucleotide ribosomal RNA is filed under the name uncultured bacterium. RNAcentral's name for it is "partial 16S ribosomal RNA". It matches the Rfam family "Bacterial small subunit ribosomal RNA", at positions 28 to 507 of the family's 1533-position model. The record is from RNAcentral.